Molecule: long non-coding RNA, 339 nt
Organism: Oreochromis niloticus (Nile tilapia)
Lineage: Eukaryota; Metazoa; Chordata; Actinopteri; Cichliformes; Cichlidae
Exons: 2
Source: RefSeq, a predicted model, not a curated record
UUUUAAAUCAACCUUAAAACCAACCACACCGAUAAAAGCGAUUUGCUGUUUUAAUAACGUUUAAUUACCACUGCAUGAGCUCAUCUUGUGUUACAUCCUUAAGAGAGAGACCUGCGGCUGCCUCCUUCCUUUGGCUCCUUGGGUGUCUUUAUCUGAGCAUCACUUUUGCCUCCACUAUGACGCCCCUGAGCCUCCAGAAAGUGUCUCCAUCAGCUUUGUAAACCACACUGGGAUGAUGUUUGAGAAUCAGCAGUACACCCUGCAGUGUAGCGUACAGAACGUAGCUCCUGUUCAGAGCCUCACUGUGACCUUCUACAGAGGAAACACAGCACUGGGUCA